Molecule: ribosomal RNA, 837 nt
Filed under: uncultured marine microorganism
Description: bacterial SSU rRNA
Rfam family: Bacterial small subunit ribosomal RNA
Source: RNAcentral
UUCCCAGUGUAGCGGUGAAAUGCGUAGAUAUUGGGAAGAACAUCGGUGGCGAAGGCGUGCUACUGGACCGUAACUGACACUCAGGGACGAAAGCUAGGGGAGCGAAAGGGAUUAGAUACCCCUGUAGUCCUAGCUGUAAACGAUGGAAACUAGGUGUGGCUUGUAUCGACCCGAGCCGUGCCGUAGCUAACGCGUUAAGUUUCCCGCCUGGGGAGUACGCACGCAAGUGUGAAACUCAAAGGAAUUGACGGGGGCCCGCACAAGCGGUGGAGUAUGUGGUUUAAUUCGAUGCAACGCGAAGGACCUUACCAGGGCUUGACAUGUCGCGAAUCUCGGUGAAAGCUGAGAGUGCCUUCGGGAGCGCGAACACAGGUGGUGCAUGGCUGUCGUCAGCUCGUGUCGUGAGAUGUUGGGUUAAGUCCCGCAACGAGCGCAACCCUUAUUUUUAGUUGCCAGCAUUAAGAUGGGCACUCUAGAAAGACUGCCGGUGACAAACCGGAGGAAGGUGAGGACGACGUCAAGUCAGCAUGCCCCUUACGCCCUGGGCUACACACGUACUACAAUGGUUGGGACAAAGGGCAGCGACUCCGCAAGGAAUAGCGAAUCUCAUCAAACCCAGCCUCAGUUCAGAUUGCAGGCUGCAACUCGCCUGCAUGAAGGAGGAAUCGCUAGUAAUCGCAGGUCAGCAUACUGCGGUGAAUUCGUUCCCGGGCCUUGUACACACCGCCCGUCACACCAUGGAAGCUGGUCACGCCCGAAGUAGUUACCCUAACCUUUCGAGGAGGGGGAUUCCUAAGGCAGGGCUAGUGACUGGGGUGAAGUCGUAACAAGGUAACC